AAGGGGUGCCUGCCUGUUGGCAGUGCUGAGAUCAUACCCAUACAACCUGAUGCAGAUAAUGCUGCCGUAGGGAUUUAAUG
This 80-nucleotide non-coding RNA is filed under the name uncultured Prevotella sp. The record is from RNAcentral. Lineage: Bacteria; Pseudomonadati; Bacteroidota; Bacteroidia; Bacteroidales; Prevotellaceae.